RNAcentral lists this small RNA (286 nucleotides) under Janthinobacterium agaricidamnosum NBRC 102515 = DSM 9628. Its description in RNAcentral is "5' ureB small RNA". It matches the Rfam family "5' ureB small RNA". Lineage: Bacteria; Pseudomonadati; Pseudomonadota; Betaproteobacteria; Burkholderiales; Oxalobacteraceae. The record is from Rfam by way of RNAcentral.
CUUCCUCGAUCUGCUGCGGGCAAAUGAAAUGGAUGUGGGUGUCGACUCCGCCGGCGGUGACGAUCAUGCCUUCGCCGGCGAUGAUUUCGGUGGCGCCGCCGAUGACCAGCGUGACGUUCGGCUGGAUGUCCGGGUUGCCGGCCUUGCCGAUGCCGGCGAUGCGGCCGUUCUUCAGGCCGAUGUCGGCCUUGACGAUGCCCCAGUGGUCGAGGAUCACCGCAUUGGUGAUCACCGUGUCCAUCACGUCGGCCGCGUUGCGCUGGGACUGGCCCAUGCCGUCGCGGAU